UACGAAGGGGGCUAGCGUUGCUCGGAAUUACUGGGCGUAAAGGGCGCGUAGGCGGAUGUUUAAGUCAGCGGUGAAAGCCCAGGGCUCAACCUUGGAACUGCCAUUGAUACUGGACAUCUUGAGUACGGGAGAGGUGAGUGGAACUCCGAGUGUAGAGGUGAAAUUCGUAGAUAUUCGCAAGAACACCAGUGGCGAAGGCGGCUUACUGGUCCGGUUCUGACGCUGAGGCGCGAAAGCGUGGGGAGCAAACAGG
RNAcentral lists this ribosomal RNA (253 nucleotides) under uncultured bacterium. RNAcentral describes it as "partial 16S ribosomal RNA". It matches the Rfam family "Bacterial small subunit ribosomal RNA", at positions 524 to 776 of the family's 1533-position model. The record is from RNAcentral.